UCCAACUUGACGCAUGUCUUUGUUGGGAAAGUGUUUAGUGGCAUGGGAUGGGGUCGCGUCCUAUCAGCUUGUAGCGGGGUAAUGGCCCCCACCCUAGGCUUCGACGGGUAGCCGGCCUGAGAGGGCGGACGGCCACAUUGGGACUGAGAUACGGCCCAGACUCCUACGGGGAGGCAGCAGUGGGGAAUAUUGCGCAAUGGGGGAAACCCUGACGCAGCGACGCCGCGUGCGGGAUGAAGGCCUUCGGGUUGUAAACCGCUUUUGAUUGGGAGCAAGCCUUUUGGGUGAGUGUACCUUUCGAAUAAGCGCCGGCUAACUACGUGCCAGCAGCCGCGGUAAU
RNAcentral lists this ribosomal RNA (340 nucleotides) under uncultured Gardnerella sp. RNAcentral's name for it is "bacterial SSU rRNA". It matches the Rfam family "Bacterial small subunit ribosomal RNA", at positions 173 to 524 of the family's 1533-position model. The record is from RNAcentral. Lineage: Bacteria; Bacillati; Actinomycetota; Actinomycetes; Bifidobacteriales; Bifidobacteriaceae.